RNAcentral lists this small RNA (3281 nucleotides) under Histoplasma capsulatum. RNAcentral's name for it is "hypothetical RNA". The record is from RNAcentral. RNAcentral also lists the same sequence under 1 other name. Lineage: Eukaryota; Fungi; Ascomycota; Eurotiomycetes; Onygenales; Ajellomycetaceae.
AUAACAUGGCGCCCCCUACAGAUGAGGAUAUCGAAUGGUUUAGGUCUACAUUUCGUCCUAUUCCUAAGCCCCAACUGCCAGAUGAUUGCAUUGAAUAUUCCUUGUAUUGCGUAUCCACCAGCAACGUCGACAGCACUGAAGAUGCUGAUUUAAUUCGUAACCGUCUCACCGAAGUGCAGAAAGCUGCAGCCGAGCUCGUGAGGGCGUUCUUAAAAGACUAUAUAUGGCAGCGUGACACCUUUAUGUUGGAAAUGAUAAGAGAAGAUGGAUUGAAUUUACUUCGCGGACGAACUGAAUAUGGAGACUCAAUAGAGGAUGAAUGGGUUAUUGUCUAUAUAUUGCGGGAGUUGACGCGACAGUUUGAUGAUUUAUGGGUGAAGGUCUCAGACAGUGAUGGCGAAUUUUUGCUGGUGGAGGCCGCACCAACAUUGCCAUCCUGGCUUGAACCGGACAUUGCAAAUCAUAGAGUUUGGAUUCACAAGGGACGACUACUGAUCAUCAAACCAGAGAAAGACAAGAGAUCUAUCCCUAAACCACUAACAUUCCGAGAGGCAAGGAAAAUAAUUGUUGGAGAUCCUAAGCGACUAAUGCACUCACCAACGAUAGAAGCUGAAGCGUUUUAUCGACUUCGCAAUUACCCGACGCAAAUCGCUGACAACCUCCACACAUCCCCAAUUACCAUACCGCGGAAACUUGCGUACAUACUACAUAUAAAACCGGCUUAUAUAUCCCCAGCAGUGGACGCGUUCUAUAUUAGGGAUCCAAUAUCCUUAAGACCUUUAAAAUCAAAGGACACAAGUGCGUUAAUAUUCAAACCAGAGGAUUUAGUCACCGUUAGCGUCCGCUUUACGAGGGUUGGAUACGCACAAUUAAAAAGCCAGGAUUUUGAACUGCCUCCAGCUUGGAAGGGCAAACUACCACCUGAAACCCCGAAAUUGAAUUAUGCUCGCGCUGAAAUGGGGGUAAAGGUUACCAGUGGAUUCGAAAUGCUGUUGUCAGACCCUCAAAACCAGGAUAAAGUAGCAGUAAGGGAAAUAAAACUCAUACUCGAAGAUAUUGAAUCUGGAGAUGACAAAUUACCUACGAAUGACGAAAUUGAAUCGACAUGGGAGAAACGUGAAGAUGACGAGAAGUGGCUCGAUAUAAGCUUUGAGGACCUUGAGCAGGAGCUGAAAGGGCGACAUGGGGCAGACAAAAGUGCUAAAUUUGCCGGCGCAUUUGGUGACCAAGCUGCCCAAGAGAAUCUUCAAAGAAUAGUGGAACGAUUCGAGCAAUUUUUGAAUGACGACCGCGCUGGCCUUGAUGGAGCCGAUCUUAUCGACGAGACGGACUCCGAUGAUUGUGACGUUGAUACUGACGACAUCAGUAGCGACGGUGAAGAUAAGGAAGUAUCAUUCGAUGAGGAUGAAUUCUCGAAGAUGAUGCAAGAAAUGAUGGGACUUCCUACGAAACCGGAAGGGAAUACCCGACCCAUGAUGAUGAAGCGAUUUGAAGAGUUGAACUCAGACGGCGACGAAGAUGAAGACGACAACGAAGAGAUAGAAAAAUUGUCAAAACAGAUGGAGGCUGAAUUAAGAGCAACGGGAGUCCUCGAUUUGAAUCCAGAAGGGAACAAGAAACAUGCUAUUAAGGGGAAGAACCCAACUCGUUCCAGAGAGAAGUCGGACUCGAGCCAGGAAAUCGAAAGGAGCACUGAUGAUGAGGGUGAUUAUGGUGUUGAGAGUAUGGAUGUCAACCUUGCUAGGAACUUGCUUGAGAGCUUUCGCAGCCAGGCUGGCUCAGCAGGGCCCGGAAGCAAUUUGUUAGGCAUGAUGGGUAUGACGUUGCCAAAAGAUGACCGUGAAUCGAAAUAGAAAAUCAGAAGCUACAAUACCAUACAUAAUAAACGUGUACCAUUUGGACGAGGAAGCGACAGCAGGGGAAGGAAUGUGGUUGGCGCAGGACCUCAAUUUCAUUACCUCCGACUGUCGGACUUUCAAAGCCACUAUUUGCAGAUAUAUGGCCCGGCCAGCCAAACAAUUACAUAUUCCGCAUCUCUAAAUUCAAAAUAUCUCUGUACACAGAUGCGAUUGGCAAGGUAUAUUCAAGUAGAUUAGCACGCCCUGAUCGAUGUGAUGCCACGGAUAACAAACAUCACCACGAAUACCAAUCAACCCCUCGGUUUCCAGACAUAACCAAAUCACCAGAGCUCCCUCCUAACCAAUCCAACACCACUACUCUCGUCAUAUCUCAAUCUGUAAACAUUCUUCAAACUUUUCUAGAUCUUCACAACAACUCCAGCAGGAUCAAAAGGCACAACUUCUCCCGCAGCAUUCACCAUCGCUGGUUCAGUAUCGCUACGAGCUAUAAUCGAGAAUUAGCAAUCUUCCUCUUGGUCCUGAGUCGUAUUGGUUUGGUUCUAACAUACAAUCGACUGUCGAUGGAGCCGCGAUGGCGACAGCCAGACAGGAGAAGAGAAUGAUGAUGAGUUUCAUUUUGGGCAAGAUCGCUUUAACUGUUCAGGUAGAAUUUGAAUAAGGAGAAGAUGAUUGUCUUAGGGAGGGACAAAGGUCGGCCGGCGACAAAAAAAAAAAAAGCUUGCUUCAAUGGAAACUGGUCUAUGAGUAAAUUUGAGGAUUUGACAAGAGGCCAGAUCGAUUAAAAACAGGAAAAGAAUCGGGUACUUUCACAUUUUAAAUGGAUUCAAGAAAGGAAGAGGGCAAAAUAUAACCUAUGUGAAAAGGUAGACGAAAAAGUGAUAAGCUAAAAUAGGCAUAAGGUAAACCUCUUCACCUAAGGGGCUUUCGUGAUGUAUAAAAUUCCUACCGGAUAAGCUACAGGGGAAAGCAGUUUCACUUCACAUAAUGAGACAAGCUAUGUGGCAGCUAUGCCAGAGAUGGUGCUAUUUUGCUUGAAUUUGGAAUUCUGCAUCCACGUUGAAGAGAAACACGAAAAAAAGUAGAGAGUGGAAGUUACGUAGUCCUAUGAAGGGGAAUCCUGGAGAAUUUGGAUCUCAAACCCAAAACUGUCAUGAAAUUCGCUCUUUCGAGAAGCAUAUGUCGGAUGAUGACGACAAAAAUUACUUAGUUUGUAAUGGAUUCCGAAUCCAGGGAUGUUGCUGAAACUAGGCUGAGACGAGAGGAGUUUUCAAACACAGCAAUUGCGUGACCAUUGAAGGAGUGGUGACAGGCUGAUUGUGCCUGAUACUAGCUAUUCUUCAGAUAAUUAUCUCUCGACAUUAAUAACACUUUUGGCUGACGAAUUGUUGACAAUCAAUUAAGAUUUACUCCAUAUUUUACCCC